RNAcentral lists this ribosomal RNA (400 nucleotides) under uncultured bacterium. Its description in RNAcentral is "bacterial SSU rRNA". It matches the Rfam family "Bacterial small subunit ribosomal RNA", at positions 30 to 430 of the family's 1533-position model. The record is from RNAcentral.
AUUGAACGCUGGCGGCAGGCCUAACACAUGCAAGUCGAGCGGUAGAGAGAAGCUUGCUUCUCUUGAGAGCGGCGGACGGGUGAGUAAUGCCUAGGAAUCUGCCUGGUAGUGGGGGAUAACGUUCGGAAACGGACGCUAAUACCGCAUACGUCCUACGGGAGAAAGCAGGGGACCUUCGGGCCUUGCGCUAUCAGAUGAGCCUAGGUCGGAUUAGCUAGUUGGUGAGGUAAUGGCUCACCAAGGCGACGAUCCGUAACUGGUCUGAGAGGAUGAUCAGCCACACUGGGACUGAGACACGGCCCAGACUCCUACGGGAGGCUGCAGUGGGGAAUCUUGCGCAAUGGGCGAAAGCCUGACGCAGCCAUGCCGCGUGAAUGAUGAAGGUCUUAGGAUUGUAAAA